This 33955-nucleotide long non-coding RNA is filed under the name Gossypium raimondii (Peruvian cotton). Its description in RNAcentral is "long non-coding RNA (GRAI_LNC006002)". Lineage: Eukaryota; Viridiplantae; Streptophyta; Magnoliopsida; Malvales; Malvaceae. The record is from RNAcentral.
UGCAUGUAUGGAUCCACAUCUGUGUUUCAUCUUGUUCCAAUCAUUCUCAUUUUACUCCUCUUGCAAUAACCAAACACUUCUUUGCUUGAUUUCUGUUUGAACCAGCAAUGGCCGAAGCAAUUGCUUUCGACCUCGCCGUAGGGCUUAUUACUAAAUUGAGCUCCUUUACUCUCUCUCAAAUUGGACUGUGGUGGAAUCUCAAAGAUGACCUCGACGACCUCAAAAGCACCGUCUCUACAGUCAAAGCUUUGCUUCUUGACGCAGAAGAGCGAUCCGUGACCAGCCGACCCGUCAAGGAAUGGUUUAAAAGCCUGAAAGAUGUACUUUACGAUGCUGACGACUUGCUCAAUGAUUUCUCUACCGAAGCUUUGCGGAAAGAUAACAAGCUGACGAAAGAGGUACGCCUUUUCUUCUCGUGCUCAAACCAGUUUGAUUACGGUCUCAAAAUGGGUCGGAAAAUUAAGACCAUUAAGGCCAGGUUGAUUUCAAUUGGAAAUGAUGCCAAGGUGUUCAACUUGGUAGAGCGUCCCAUGGAAACCUCUUUCAUGACAAAAAAGAGGCAGCAAGAGCACUCUUUUGUGCCUAAAGAUAAAAUAAUAGGGAGGGACAAUGAUAAAGCAGCUCUUCUAAAGCUCGUGUUAGAGUUUGAAAGUGAUGAGACUGUUUACAUCAUUCCAAUUGUGGGGUUAGGAGGGUUAGGGAAGACUGCUUUGGCUCAGUUUGUCUAUAAUGAUGAAAUGGUCAAAAAUCAUUUUGAGUUGAUGAUGUGGGUGUGUGUUUCAGAUGUUUUUGAUGUUAAAAUAAUUGUAGAAAACAUGAUCAAAUCUGCAACAGGCAAAGCACCCGAUCAAAAUCUCGAAAUGGACCAAUUGCAAAAACAACUUCGGGAAAAAAUUGGUGGGAGAAAGUAUUUGCUUGUUUUGGAUGACAUUUGGAAUGAUGAGUGGGAAAAAUGGGUUAGAUUAAAAGAGUUAUUAGUAGGUGGGGCUAAAGGAAGUAGGAUAAUAGUAACUACUCGCUCUUCUAAGGUAGCCAAGAUCACUAGUAAAUGUCAGCCUUAUGUUCUGAACGGCUUGUCUGAUAAUGAUGCUUGGUCUUUGUUCAAAGAGAUAGCAUUUGAACAAGGAUCGGCAGACUCAACAGAUUCAGGCUUCGUGGAAAUAGGAAAGCUGAUUCUGGAAAGGUGUUGUGGGGUUCCCUUAGUCAUAAGGACGAUAGCUGGUACGUUAUCUUUCAAAGAAACUAAAAGUGAGUGGCUUUCUUUUAAAGAUAACGAACUUGCUAGAAUAUCUCAGAACGAAGGUGAGAUAUUACCUACACUUAAGUUGAGUUAUGAUCAUCUCCCGUCUCAUUUGAAGCAUUGUUUUGCUUAUUGUCGACUAUAUCCAAAAGAUCAUGAAAUUGAUGUACGAACACUUGUUCAAUUUUGGAUUGCACAAGGUUUUGUAAAGCAAUUGAAUCCAAGUCAAUCUCUUGAGGAGAUCGGAUUUGGAUAUUUUAAAGAUUUAGUUGAAAGAAGUUUCUUUCAAGAGGUAGUAGAAUAUGGAUUUUGGUUUAUGGGAUGUAAAAUGCAUGAUUUAAUGCAUGAUCUAGCUGAAUCAGUAGCAGGGAUGGAGAGUAGUAUUAUAGAUUCAAAUAACAUUGCGAGUGAUGUUGGUGAAAACUGUCGCCACAUAUCAAUUAAACCUUCAUUAAUUCCUUUGUUUAAGGGAAAGAAGUUGCGAACCUUGUUACAUUUUCACGACAAAAUGGAUCAAAAAUUGAGUGAUGAAAGUUGGGAUUUGAUAAUUGCAAAUUGUAGAUGCUUGCGUGUAUUGAAAUUGGAUGAUAUAGGUAUUCAAAAGAUUUCACCCUCCAUUUACAAGUUGAAACAUUUGAGGUACCUUGAUCUUUCUUAUAAUAGCGAUCUUAAGAUUCUCCCAAAGAGUAUUUGCAAGAUUCAGAAUUUGCUAUCGCUGAAACUUGACGAGUGUCCUAAGCUUAAAGAAUUGCCAAAGAAGAUUGAAAAAUUGGUGAAUCUUACCCAUCUUGCGUGUUAUUUUUGUGAUAGAUUAACUCAUAUGCCACGUGGAAUAGGGAAGCUGACUUCACUUGAGACGUUAAGCAUGUUUGUAGUGGAUAAAGAUGGGUCCCAUGGCGGUGCAGAUCUAAGUGAAUUGAGACUGCUUAACAACUUAAGGGGACGCCUAACAAUACGAAAUUUGGGAUCCGUAAAAAAUGCAAAAGAGAAGUUUAAGGCUGCUAAUUUGAAAGAGAAGCAACAUUUGAGAUCUUUGGAUUUAGAAUGGGGCGGUCGUAACCAUGAUGAUGAGAAGUCACUUGAAGACCUCCAGCCCCAUCCUAAUCUCAAGGAGCUAUGGAUUCGAGGAUGGAGGGCUGAUGCCAAGUUUCCGAGUUGGCUUCAUUUGCUCACAAGUCUCGUCAAAAUUAAAAUAAAUUAUGGUAAUUUCAAACGUCUCCCAUCCUUUGCUCAAUUUCCUUGUCUUCAACAUUUGGUAAUUCGUCAUUUAACUGAGCUGGAGUACAUGGAUAAUAAUAGCCCAAAAGGAAGUCAAGGAGAACCACAAUCAUUCUUCCCAUCGCUUAAGCAUCUUAACCUCGAGGAUUGCCCAAAUAUGAAGAGUUGGUGGAGGACGACAAAACCAAUCGAUGAUGAUUCCAACGAGGACGACACAACAGUUAUGGGAACAUCAACCAUGGCAUUUCCUUGUCUUUCCUCUUUAACAAUUUAAAAUUGCCCUUUGACUUUAAUGCCACUGUAUCCAUCACUCGGUGAAUGUCUAAUGUUGUGGAAUACCAGUUCAAGGCCGUUGAAGCAAACUAUCAAGAUGAACAUCAAUGCUAAGGCCCCAUCAACUUCAACCUCUUCUCUUCCACUCUCCAAAUUGAAAUCUUUCCAUGUACACAACAUUGAGGGGUUGGACACUCACACGCUAGAUGAGUGCCUGCAACAUCUCACCAGCCUCAAAAGAUUAACAAUAAGAGAUUGCAAGGAGGUUGAUUUAGAGGGCAUGCAAUGGGAACCCCUUAAGAAUCUCUCUCAUUUGGAGAUUGAUAAUAUUCCAAAGCUGGUGUCUCUCCCCAUUUGGCUUCAACAUCUAACAAAUCUGCAACGGCUUUAUCUCGUUAAUUUGCCCAAUUUAACAUCUCUUCCGGACGAGAUGCGUUGCCUAACCAGUUUGGAGUAUUUACAAAUACAAAGAAUUCCUCAGUUGGAGGAAAGAUGUCGGAAGGACAUUGGCGCUGAUUGGCAAAAGAUUGCUCACAUCCCCAAUAUUCGGUUGUAACAGGUUGGUGUGACUUUGUUAUUUAUUUAUUUUGAUGACCUUAUCUUUUUUUGAAGAAAAAUAAGAGUGGUAUAUUGAAUCUCCAAGUGAGGCGUCUGAUGCCAUUUUUCAUUGAAGUUGGAUACUGUUAAUUUCCUUGUUAAAAUCCCUUUAUUUUAAUCCUACUUUUUGCUUAUCAUCUUUCAUAAUAUUUUUGCUGAUUUGUGCAGUAAGGCAUUGGAGAAAGGCAUUAGUGAACUUCAAUCAUUUUAUAUGCAUAAAAAGAGGUGCUAAUUUAUCUAUUUGCUUUUUACUUUUAAAUCAUAAUUAUAACUUCACAAUUGCUUCUAAUAAUUUAAUUCUAAAAAAUCAUUGAUGUGGAGAGAGAGGCCCAUGAAGCCUUCAAAAUAGUUGUACUAUAUGCUCUGCUUUCUUCAUUUAAGCACUUACUAUCAUAUCUUUAUAUAUAUUUAUGUUUUCUCUUAAUAUACGCCAACUGAUUACUAUCUUAGAUAGUACCUGUGCUAUUGACAGGCUUUUGGAGGUAUUCAAAUUCAUAAUAUUCAUUGAUGCAGGGCACUCUUUUAGCUAUUUGGAAUUCCAGCGAAAUUUGUUAUUGAAGGUCCAAACAGGAAAAAAAAGGAAGAUGCUUCAAAAUAUUUGGUGGUGAGGUUGAAGUUGAUAAAACGUUUCAUUAUUUAUAUAUCAACAGCAUUAUACUAAACACACAUAUGUGCAAAUAUAAUGCUGAUAAUGGUGAGCACUUUAGUUUUGAGGUGUAAAUAAAUAAUGGAUUUGUAACAUAUUUCAUGUUGGCAUUUACAAUUUUCAGGUUCUUUGUUGCUUUUGGAAGAGUCGUUGUUCAAGCAUGACAAUUGCCAGACAUAUUGCAUUUGAAAAUUUAUUAUUCCACUUUAAAUGGAGCUUAUUCAGAGCUUGAUUCAUAGUAGGAAAACCAUCUGAGUAUCGAAUCUGAAUUUUCACUUGCAUAGCUAAAAUGAGUUGGGAGAGAAUUUACUUCAUUGUACAAAAGUGAGAUUGCAUCACGUGUUUGAGGGGUUAAGCUUAAAUCAUUUCUUUGUACUAUGAAGUUCAUAGCGGAUUCAUCUUUGGGCAAAACCCCGCAGAUGUAGGACGAGUUCCGAACUGCGUAAACAUCUUAAUUGUGUUCUUUAUUUUCCUUAUUGCAAAAUAUGUACCAACUCAAGAAAAAACACAUUUUUAAUGUUCCAAACAGUAUUCAAAUGCAGGGAUGCACAAUUGAUUAUGAGACCAUAAUUGUUUUCAACGGCAUUCCAAGGCUAUGUUCAAUUAUAAUGCUUGGAUUAGGAUCCUUCCAAAAGAUGUCGAUUUCCUGCCUGUAUAUACAUAUGACUUGUGUGUUGAUGCUUAUGUUGGCACACGUUAAAUUGCAAGUUGAAUAACACCUUGUAAUUUGUUCUUGUCGUUUAAACAAAACAUAAGGCUUUUCCUUUGGAAUCUCGAUGCGACGAGGUACUGCAAUCCUCAAAAGGAAGGAAGGACAUGGGCAAUGGCAGGGGUGUUUCUUGGUGAGCUAAGGAAAUCAAAGUCUCCUAGGAGGAUACUAGCCCAUCAAUUCCCUCUAUAUAGCAACAAUGAACCUGCAAACUAUAAAUAUCAAUAUACAGUAUGAUAAAAUUGAUCUCGUAUAGACCCAGCAGUGUCCAAAUGUAGAAGAAACACUUACUCUUACUAAAAACGUAACUCCAUAUUUUGUGCACAAAUGGUGGCCAAACACAAAUCCGUUGUAUAUGCUUUUUGAUUCCAAGUUUAAGAAAGGGCCAAACGUUGGGCAUCCUCAUCCUCAUCUGUAAUAGUAACAAAUUCACAUUCCUAUUAGUGUUUACGCCUCAAAACUCAAUUCCAACUUGAUCAAAUUUACUUUCAAAACAUAACUUGAUUCAAGAUAAAAAUAAACUUGGACUUCUUUACCUAGCAAAAGAUGAACAUGAUUUUCAAAAAUCCAAGGUUUUCGAAACCGGACCAAUAGAAAAACUGAUCAGGCCACCAAUUCAUCGGUUCAACAGGUGCAAUUAAAUAAAUCAUUAAAAAAUUCAUAAAAAAUAAAAACCUGAUUCAACUGCCAGGUUCAACCAGUUUUUCGCCCGAUACAAUCAUCCAUACCGGUUCCUAGGCCAAUCAAUUCAAUGCCCUUCUCCGAAACAGGAUCCUGGUCCGGUUCAAAUAACCUUGACUAAACCUAAAAAACUAUUUAAGUUCGGAUUUCAGUUGGUAUUCUCAAUAUUAGCUCAAAAAAGAAAAACCCUUAAUGUAGGCUUACAAACCACUCUAAGUCAGACAUUAAGGUAUUUAAAUUCGGCUUACUCAAUAGCCCAAGCUUGGCUAACCAAUAAUUAAACCGAAUUCCGCUAACAUUAGCAAAACCAAAACACGAAAAUCUCAACUGUAAAUAUGUUAGAGAUAAAUUUCAACCAAAAAGUGAAAAAACAUGAAGGAAGCAAUAGAAUUAGAAAAAUAACUGGAUUCAUAUAAUCAUAUGAUUAUUUAUAGAUGCCAUUGGUCACAACCUCAAAUAUACAAUGGACCGAUUUCGUACAAACAACAAGAUUGAUCCAAUGAUUAUCAUCACGAUGCACCAAUUCUACACAUCCACAUUUAGUAAGGCUGCUUUUUCAAUUUUGGUAUGUAAAACACUAAUGACUAAUUAAGCAACUCAGAUAAAGAAAAGGAUGUUGUUAAUGUGCAUAUAUAACCAGAUUAGAUAGACCAGAAUUCUGAUGCCGACACUUUUUAUUUCUAUAACUAAAACCAUGGGAUAGGAAAAAUAGCUCAACCCUGAAGAUUUGUUCUGCAGAAUUUUGUCAGGAAAAAUAAUCUUACCUAUCGAGUUGAUUUAAAAUCAGAAGAUGGCACUUCGGUCAUUCUAGAAGGUGGAGUUUCUGGCCUUGGUGUACGACCUCAGCCAUUCCAAAGUCUGAAUGAAGCAUAUCUACUCCGCUCCCUUCAACACCUGCCAUUCUAGGAGUUAAGGAUUACACAUUCACCUGUUGUACCUCUGAAUGUAUAAAUAAGUUUGUGUGCUUUUUUCCUGCCUUUGAGGGGUUAAGCAGAUAGAUUAGCUAAAAUUUAUAGAAGGAUACAAUCUGUCAUCCACAUAUCCAUAAUGCUAACAUCGGCAUCUAAUAGAAGCCAAUAAUCCGCAUCAUUCUGAAAACAAGGGCAAAAAAAGUUAAUAGACAAAAUUAUCAAUUUUGGUGCAAGAUGAAGUCGGGAGAAGGUGUUUGAAUCUUGGACCUUCCCCUCCUAAAGAUGGGUAACCAAGGCUUCUAAUGAAUUAUUCCAGAUUACCUAAAUUCAUAAAUAAUCUUUGACAUGAACCACUGUCCAAGUAUAUGAUGUUUGUAAAGCUUGGCUAGUGUAAUAGCUGGUCAAGAAAAAUGGCACUCACGUCAAUAACCGACAGAACAAUUCUCAUCAUUCCCCCAACAGACUAUUGUGAAGCAUUUAUAUCAGAGCAGAUCUGAUGAGUUUGCUGUGCCUGUGGUUCAAUCUCCUUUCAGAUGCUCACUGCAUUGACCAACUCAACUUGGUUUUCAUUAGAGCCAGAACUUGAAGCAAGUGGGACACUCAAGAGGUUGUUCAACACCAUUCAUCUCUUCAAAUUUCUCCUCAAAUUGGCUGAGGAAGCAACAAUGGAAAAGAAAGACAUUAAAACAACCUAUCUUCUUAUCAUCAAUUAAACUUAUUCCAAAGAACACCUGACUAGGUGAACAAAAAUCGGACCCAUUGUGCUUCUAAGGAAUAUCCCGUAUCUCCUUUGUCAGUAAUCAAAAUCCUGUAAUAUAUAGGAGCAAUGUGACAAUGCGUUUAAAUCAUGAAAGUGGAAAAUGGUAGUAACUCAUUAAAAUUCUCUAUGCCAUCUUACUUCAUCAGGAUCGGGUACUUCGAGAGUUGUUCCAUGUGGAGCUUUAAUUGCUAUCAGGCUUUCAUUCUGCCAAAACCAAGGUGUCUUGAAGAUUAGUAUCAAAUGCAGAAUAUCAUUGCAGAAGUGUUAAUUCAGAAGCAUGAAAUAAACGAACCUGAAAACAAGGUAUACCCUUGAUGUCCUCUUCAGUCACAAAAAGCAACCUGAAACAGUGUGAAGAUAUGUAAACGUAUAAUUUUUUUGCAAACAAUUAGCAGUUAAACUUCCAUUAAUUGGAUCACAGUGCAAGGCAGACAAGAAAAUCGUACUUCUGAUUGUUGUCAUUCUCACUCAAAUCCCUCAACCUUUCCUGCAUUUCUCUGCAAUAUUUUAGAAGCAUCAGCAUUCCUAAACAGGUUCAAGAUAGUAACAGUUGCUACUUUAACAUGAAAAUAAGCCAUGCACAACCUUAUUUGAUCAUCUAAUCUCCUCUCUUCCAUGGAAAGGUUCUCAAUUUCCUCCUGCAUUAAAGAAUAGAAAUUAAGCUCAUAGGUAUGAGAAAUAAGCAGCACAAAUCAAUCAAUCGGGAGUGAUUGAAAAUUCUCUUGAAAGUCAUUACCAAAAAUAAAGAAACAGAAAACAUCCUAAUGAACCGUAUCAAGAAAAUUUGUUGGCUGGAUGUCAAUGAAAUGAAAAUUGACAUUACUUUCACGUACCUGUAUUACAGAGACAUCGCCAUCUGUUUCUCCUGGCUUUGAAGCACCAACACCCCUAGUAAAUUUGAUUAAUCCUCAAAUAAGUCUCACAUUUUUCAAAGGUUAACCAGAAUGACAAACCAAAUUAAGACAUCAAAUUCUUGAAAAAUGAUUAACAUCAUCAGUACUUACUUCCACUGUAUUCUGUUUUUGAACUUCUUUUCGAUAAGACCAAUGCCCUCCAAGACAUUUGUUAUAUCAUAUAUCCUCCUCGUCUGCACCUGUUACAACAUUUACAGGGAAAAAUAAAAGACAAAAGAACCCUUUAAGUAACAUGAAAAAAAUACUCAACAAACACCCAAUGAUACAUAAACUCACUAGUAUGUGAUUACCUCCAAUGUUUCUGCAGCCUUAUUUAGGUCAAGGAUACCAUCUUCAGCAUGCUUCAUCAGAUUGACAAACUUUUUCGUCAACAGACCUAAAAAUGGUGACUGCGUUAUUGUCGUUCUCACCAUCCAUAGCAGGUUAAGGAGCUAAAAUAGACUAUGUUAAAAGAAAAAAGAAUGGGCAGUAAAGAUUACCUAAAGGACUAUCUAAACGGCAGCUGCCAGUAGGUGUAAGAGGAGAUGGACAACCUGCCAAUUAUCAUAUAUAAUGUCAGUGAUUCCUCUUCUACAAAAUCCAUCUAUCUUAAUUCGAGCAAUGAGGUAUUGAUGAUAGAGCCGUGGAGUGAAUCAUAAGUUUCCUUCUAUGGACUAAGCCAGUAGGAAAUAGUAUCGCACCAGCAUUUGACACAGGUGUGUGAGGCAUUGAUUUAUUGGCUUUUGAUGUCUUUGAUCUAUUAUUUAUCCUUGCUCCUUUAGCAUAUACAGGUGUCUGGAAAGGACCGUUGGAUAUGCUGGUAAUCCCCAGACUGCUUGUCCAUUCAUUCAAUUUCAACUUAGUACAGCAAACGAGCACUUUAAUCUACCAAAACUCCACAAUAUCAUCAAAUACAUCAUCAUAAACGGAAACACCUCACAUAUUAAAAAUACAUCACAAUUUCACUGCAGUAACAAAUAAUGCUACUCAUAAUUUAUCCCCUAAGAAACUUAGCCACCAUGAAAAGCUCUAUUUGUGAACAGAUCAAAAGAUCACACACACAAAAAAAAAGAAAAAAAAGAAAAGCAAAAGACAUUAAGCGUUAAGUGAGAGUACAAUUCUCAUCAAAAUUGAAAUAAUAUACUACUAAUUACAUGAUAGCCACCGAUUUCAACGGAGAAUUUUUGAACUCACUGGAGAUCUCACAACAAUUGCUUUAACUUCUUGAUCGGCGACGAUUCCACGACUAUUACUAGAUGAAAAUCUGUGAUAAUCAUCGAGAUGAACAAACGGCGGCUUCGUCGAAUCGAAGGCCAGGUGACGACGUAUCGGUGGAACAACCGGAGGAACCGUCGAAGCUGGUACUGCUGAAGCCGUAGGAGGAGGUUGAUACGGCAGUGUGAGACCAUCCCGGACAUGGAGGUUUAUGAUAUCGAGGGGAAAGGAGGUCGGUAUACUUGCAAUAGGGAAAUAGGAAGAGAGAGAGAGAGUGAGGGUUUUAGUUCAGACAUUAGAGAGAGAGUAGAAAAGGAGGGAAUCUUCUGUAUAUAAUUAUAAGUUAAUGUGCUAAUUUCAUUUGUUUUGACCUUUUUGAACCCUUACUUUUUUCAAUUUUUCAAAUUUCCAAUUUCAUCCUAAAAUAAAAUUCAAAUAUAUAUAUAUAAGGGUUAAAGUACCGAUACUAUAGGGACUGCAUACAAAUUAGUCCUACUACCAUUAAAUGGUUAAUUUAUUACCUGUACUAUUAAAAUUGAUCAAAUAAAGUCAAAUUAUAACAAAGUUAACAUUUAUUUUAUAAAAAACAUAUUGAAAUUUGUUAAUUCUAUUAAUGUUAAAUCUCUUACAAUUUAACCUUAUUUGGUUCUUUUUAGUAGUACUAGGAUAAAAUUAGUCCAUUUAAUACUAGAGGGACUAAUUUUAAACUUUUCAAAUAUUUUAACCCUUAUAUAAGCAAAAAUAUUAUUUUUAAAAUAUUAAUCAAUAGACUUGUCUAUAAUUUGGUUAGGGUACAAUUUUUUUAAAUUUUUUUCUUCACGCUGGCCAUAUUUCAUUGUUCUUUUAAUAUUAAAAGUUAACAAUUUAGUAAUAUUUAUAUAUUUUUAUAAUCGUAUUAAAUAAGUAAUUUAGUGAGUUUGAAUAUUGUAGUGGUGAGAUUAAAGUUAAUUGUAGAAUAUAUAUUUAAAUUCAAAUGCAUAUGUAGCAAUGAAAUAAAAUUAGAAAAUUACUAUUAAGAACACUAAGUUAAAAUGUAUGUAUAUGUAAAAUAAAUAAUUAAGAAUAUAUUUAAAAUAUAAUAUUUUAAAUAAUAAUUAAAAAUAUCAAAACUAUGAUUAUAAUACAAAAUUAAAAUUAUAUUUUAUAUUAAAUUAUAAAAUAUACAUAAGAAUUAUAUGUUUUAAUUUUUUUUUAUUAAAUUAGUAGUUAAAAUCACUAAAAAAUUUAUUUCAUUAUUAUUUACUUUCAAACUUUUAUGUUUGAAUUUGUUUAUUGUUGCACUAUUUUAAUUAUGUACCACAAUUUUAAAUAAUAUUAUUUUUGCAUUAAUUACAUAAAAUAAAAAUAUAUUAUUCAGUGAAUAAAAAAUAAAUAUAUAAAAUCACGUAUAAUAAUAUUCAAUGAAUAAUAUCAAACCCCUAGUACUUGAAAGUAGUUAUAGAGACCAAUCAUGGCAAAAGCCAAAAUUCCAAGCAUCUAAUUGUUAUUUUUCUCUUUAUUUUCCUUAUCAAAACACAACUAAUUUUCAAUAAUGUAACAAGGUGAAAGCCUAAUUCCAAGCAUUCAAACAAACUAUAACUAUAAGAGAAGAAACGUAGCCAAAAUUGUAAUUAAAAUUUUCAAAAAUUUUAAACAGCUUAAUGAGAAUUUCAAUAAAAGGGUCUAAUUAAAAUUUAUAAAACUAUUAAAGGGUUUAAAUAAAAUUUGAAAGAAAUUGAGGAGUCUAAUUAAAUUUUUUUAAAAAAAUUGAAGGCUUAAUGAAAAUUUUCCAAAUUUGGGAGCUUGGGGCAGGAGGAGCUUUCACUCUUGUUACGUUUUGUCCCGAGUAAAUUUUUUAAGAGAGAUCUAUUAAUUCAUUUAAUAAAUAAAUGAACAAUUCAAGAAAAAAAAUAACAAACACUUGUACGCCCUAAAGAACAAGCUCCAUCAAUAUAAUAAAAGCUUCAGCUUCAGCAUCAAUAGAACAUUAUGGCACGUUGACAAUCGACUCUGUCACAACUCAAGCACAACAUAUCAGAAGCGAUUGCAAGCACUUAAUACAAUAAGAAAAUCAACCCCAAAUGGUCCAAAGCGGCGAGCAUAAAUUGGCAAAAGAACCAAGCAUUCACCUAAUUAGAGAAGACAAUGACUAAACCAACCCUAAAAUUAUUUGCAAAAGCAAAACUAAAUGCAUAAUAAAGACUAAAAAGCAUACUAUAAGAGUAGACAAAACUUCUAAAAGUGAUACUUAUUAAACAAUAAAAAAUAAAUAAAUAACAUAUAAAACUUAAGAUAACACGAGUCAUGAAAUCAUUUAUUAUUUUGAAACUCUCAAAACAGAAACAUAUUAAGAAGUCAACGAAGAGCUACCUACUUUCUAAAAGAAACUAUCGGUGGUCGAUGGUAUUUCAAACGAUGAUAGGCACCAUCAUCUAUCCAUCACAACAUGUGAAGACAACAAAAAUACCCACAAAUAGAUCUGUAAACCGAAAAAGAGAGAAGAUGCAUGGAAUAAAUAAGAAGAAGAAAGAAAAAGAGGGUUUAUGGGUAGAAAAAAUAAGCGGGCUGUAGCCAACCCGUUCUGCCCCUGAGUAAUUUUUGAAACUAUAAAAAUCAUACCGAAUUAUAAUUAUAUGUUUGUGUAUUUAAAUCAAAUUAAAUUGCAAUAAAAAAACAAUUUAUCUAAGGUUAGAUUAAAAAAACAGUACUAACAAUUGGACCUGAAAUUUGAACUCUAAAAAGUAAAAUAAUUAAAUUCCUAUAAAUAUAAGUAUAGAGACUAAAUUUUAAAUUUAUAGUGAGUACAAAGACAUAUGGCAUAAUUUAACUUAAAAAAGGUAACCUACUUUAGUAGUCACCCAACUAAGUUUUUUUUUUUUUUUUGUCAUUCAAUUAUGAAAUGUUGCAAAAUAGUUGCCUAACGAUUCAAUUUUAUCAUUUUUAUCAUCAGUUGGCUAAUUAAAAAAUAGAAAACACCAAAAAUCUAAGAUAAUUGGGUGAAAAAAAAGGAAAAAAAUAAUAGUUUAUUGAAUAUUUUGUAACUUUUCAUAAUUAGUGUACAAGCCCAAAUUUACCCGAGGCCCAAUACCCAAUUGAAACCCAAACCUAAACCCCUACCCAUUACAACCAAACCAGGCCCAAAAUAAAAAUAAACCCUAGCCCAACAACCUAAAAAAAAAUUUCAGCCAAAAGGAAACCCUAAAGUGCCGCCGCACCCUAUGUCUGCCACCUCACCUGCCACGGCCACCAACUCUGCCCACCUGCCGCUUCUGUCAUCGUCCCAUCAUCCCACUUCCCUGCAAAGGAGAAAAUCACGCAAAGAGCAGUAGCAAACAGAGAAAAAGAAAAAAAAGACUAAAAUAGCAUGUAAAAUUGGCUAUAAAAGCCAAGUAUAAUAAUAUUUGAGAAAUAAAAAACAGAAAAAGAUUUCAAAGGAUUUUUUUUAGAUUCGCAUUUUUAUUUUCUGUCCAUUUUUUAUUUUUAUUUUUUUAAUUUUCAUACUAAAUAAUAAGUAUAAAAAAGGAAGAGAAAAAGAAACUCACCUGCGCCGGCCGAUCUACUCGCCGUCGACGGCCUCACCGGAAAAGGAGAAGAAACAAAAUGUUUCUUCGUUGCUCCGCCGGGUUUGGCCGGGUUUUCGGGGGUUUUGGCCUCGGAUCCUUGCUCUACGUGUAAAGGGCUUCGAAAUGGGUUAUUUUUGUUUUUCCGGCCACCAUGGACGGUGGCGCCGUUGUCGGCGACCGGAGCGGCGGCUGAUAACCGGACUCCUGGCCGGAUUUUUGGAAGGGGGAGAGGAUUUGAGGGAGUUUUCUAAGGUUUUUUUUUUAGGAAGAAAGAAAAUGAAAUUUUUUGAAAAAAAUUUGGUUUAAAUAGGGAAGCAAAACGGCGCCGUUUUGCUCAACCUUUUAAAGUGCCAAAACGGCGUCAUUUUGUGCCAUCCGACCCGACCCGACCCGCUCCAGGCCAGGAUCCACUUGUUUUUUUAGCGGAAGGGCUAAUUGCGCUUUCUGCCCUUCCGCUUUUCAAUGAUUUUGCAAUCAAGUUCUUUUUAGUUCUUAAUUUAGCCCUGAAAUUUCUUUCAGAUUUCAAUUCGAUCCACCUGGAAGCUAUGCGUUUUGGAGGGACGAGAUUAUUGCCCAUUUGGUCCCUCCUUGUUAUUCGCGCAUUCAACGUAGUCCUUCCCCUUUAAUUUAUUUGUGAUUUAACCCUGAAUUUUAUCUUUUAAAUUCAAUUUAGCCCACUGUUUGUUUUUUGGUUAUUUUAUUAUUAAAACUAAUAAAUUAUUAUUAUUAAUAUUAUUAUUAGUGUUAUUAAUAUUAUUAUUAAUAUUAUUGUUAUUAUCAUCAUAUUUAUGUUUAUACUUACUAUGUAAAUUUUAAAUAUAUGUAUCUUAUUAUAUUAUUAUUAUAUAAUUGCUUCUAUAUAUAUAUACACAUAUAUACAUAUUUAAUAUUUACAUACAUAUAUACGUUUAUAUUUUUUAUAUAUUUUAUCAUUUAUAUAUAUGUAUGUAUUUAUAUGCGCAUUUUAAAUUUUUAUAUAUAUACAUACUUAUAUUUUUUUUAUACUUGUAGAAUAAUGAAAGAAAACUUCUCAAGUAUAUUGGAUACUAACGUAUUGUUAUAUACAAGCAGGGAAAGGAAGUAACAGAAAGUAACAGAAAAAUAACUACUAACUGACUAACAAGAAAUUAAUUUAAAACUAUAUGACUAAUAGCCCACCUCAAGCUGGAGAAUGAAUGGGAAACAGUCCUAGCUUGGACAAAAUAAGCUGGAAGGGAACAGCAGCCAGAGCUUUGGUGAAGAUGUCAGCAAGCUGGUCUUUGGAAGAACAAGGAAGCAAUUUGACAACACCAGUCAACAUUUUUUCACGAACAAGGUGACAGUCGAUCUCAAUAUGUUUAGUACGUUCAUGAAACGUAGGGUUUGCAGCAAUUUGGAGAGCAGGAUUGUUGUCGCAAAACAAAGCAGUAGGCCCAGAAAUAGUCAUAUGCAAAUCAGACAGAAGAAAUCGAAGCCACUGAAUUUCACAAAUAAUAGAUGCAAGAGCCCUAUAUUCUACUUCUGAGGAAGAGCGAGACACGGUGCUUUGCUUCUUGGCUUUCCAACUAACAAAGGAAUCUCCAUAAAAUAGGUAGUAACCAGUCACAGAGCGACGUGUGAGAGGACAACCAGCCCAAUCAGAGUCACUAAAUGCCUUCAGUGUAGGCGAGGAAGAAGCAGAAAAGAAAAGACCAAAGUCAAUGCAUCCUUUCAGGUAGCGAAGAAUGUGAUGGGCAGCUUGAAGGUGAGUGACUGUAGGUCGGUCCAAGAAUUGACUUAACUGUUGAACAGCAAAAGCAAGGUCAGGUCUAGUAGAAACCAAAUACAAUAGGCGUCUAAUAAGUUUUCUGAAAAUAGUGUUAUCAGGAAGCAAUUCGUCAGAAGCAUCGCGAGGGAUUUUGGUAACCAUAGGAGUUGUAACAGGCCUACAAUCUGAGAAACCAAAAUCAGCCAGUAGAUCGAGAGCAUAUUUUUGCUGACAAAGAUGAAUACCAGCAGAACUACGAGCAACUUCAAGGCCAAGAAAAUACUUGAGAUCCCCUAAGUCUUUGAUGCUAAAGGUAGAAUGCAAGAAGGCUUUUACCCGUGUGAUUUCUUCCAAAAAAUCACCAGCUAGAAUAACAUCAUCAACAUAAACCAAUAAGGCAGUAAAGGAGAUUUCAUCCUUUUUAACAAAUAGAGAAAAAUCUGAAAUAGAUUGAACGUAACCAAUUGAAGUGAGAGCUGCAGUGAGAUUGGCAAACCACUAUCGACUAGCCUGCUUGAGACCAUAUAAUGAUUUUUGCAACUUGCAAACCUUAUGGGAAGUGGAGGAAGCAAAACCAGAAGGAAAAAGCAUGUAAACCUCUUCAGUCAAAUCUCCAUGCAAAAAUGCAUUGUUAACAUCAAGCUGGUGCAAAAACCAGUCUUUGGAAGCAGCAAUAGCAAGCAAUAAUCGAACAAUAGUAAUCUUGGCCAUAGGGGAAAAAGUAUCAAAAUAAUCAACACCCUCAGUUUGUGUGAAUCCUUUAGCAACCAAACGAGCCUUGUAACGCUCAAUAGAACCAUCGGCUCGAUAUUUCACACGAUAGACCCAUUUGCAACCGAUUGCAAUUUUGCCUGGAGGUAAGUCCAUAAUGAUCCAGGUGUUAUUUUGUUCAAGAACAGAAAUUUCAGCUUGCAUUGCUUCUUGCCAAUGGGGAAUUUUGCUAGCUUGUAAAUAGGUUGUAGGUAUGAGAGAAGCAUUGAUAGCAAGAGUAACAGGUGUGGCGCAUCGAAGAUGAUUGGCAACAGCUUUGCUAGAAAAACAGUGAUAUUGGUCUAAAUAUGAAGGAGGUUUCCUAAUACGAGGUGGCCUAGAAGGUUGUAAAGGAACGGGAGGUGAGGGUUGUGAUUGAAUUGGCAAGUCAUAGGUAAUGGUGGAGUCAAAGGUUAACUGUGGGAUGGAAGAGGAAGAAGAUGGUUGUUGAGAAAAAGGGAAAACGGACUCAUGGAAAUGGACAUUUCUGGAUAUGAAAAUGGCAUGGGUUGAUAGGUCAAAAAGAAUAUAGCCUUUGACAUGAGGUGGAAAACCAAGAAAGACACACUCACGUGCUCGAGGAUCCAACUUAUGACGAUGAGCAGUAAAAGUAGUUGCAAAACAAAGACAGCCAAAGACACGGAGGUGCUGAAAAGAUGGCUUAGUUUGGUAUAAUUUGUCAAAAGGGGUAAGGUUAGCCAAAAUGGGAGUAGAGGUAUGAUUAAUAAGAAAAACAGCAUGAAGAAUAGCAUGUCCCCAAAAAUGCUUAGGCAAAUGAGAAUGAAAUAAGAGAGCCCGUGCAAGAUUAAGAAUGUGUUGGUGCUUGCGUUCUACAAGACCGUUUUGUUGUGGGGUUUCAACACAUGUAGUUUGAUGAAUUGUGCCUUUGGAAGCAUAAAAGGCUGGAAUGGCAAACUCACAACCAUUGUCAGAUCGAAUGACUUUAAUUUUGGAUGAGAACUGAGUUUCAACAAGUGUGAAAAAAUUCUGAAUGUGAGUACGAACUUCAGAUUUUGCUUUCAAUAAAAUAAUCCAAGUAAAGCGACUAAAAUCAUCAACAAUGGUUAAAAAAUAACGAUGACCAGUAAUGGAAAUAACAUCAGUUGGACCCCAAAUAUCAACAUGAACAAGUUCAAAAAUUUUAUUGGAAACGGAAGUGCUUACAAGAAAAGAUAAUUUCUUUUGUUUGGCCAAAUGGCAGGCUUUACAAGGUGCAUUAUUUGACAAAAACAAAGAAGGAAUGUAAGGGAAAAGUAGUUUUAGUCGAGAAUCGGAAAGAUGACCGAGACGAUGAUGCCAAAUGGAACAGGAAGAUGUGUUGGCUGACAAGGCAAUGGGAGCAGAAAUGGAAAAAGUUUGAGCUGUGGAGUCCAAAAUAUAAAGACCAUGGAGCACUCUAGCUGUACCAAUCAUCUUCGAAGAAGGAAGAGCCUGUAUAGAACAAUGAGUUUUAUGAAAGGUAAAGGAAUAAGGUAAUAUAGGAGUGAGUUUAGUGACAGAUAAAAGAUUAAAGGUAAAUUGAGGAACAUAGAGAACAUUAGUAAUGUAAAGACUAUUAUUGAAAAUGACUGUACCAGAAAUUCGAGCACAAACUUUAGUGCCAUUUGGAAGGUUGAUGUAUAUAGGUUUAAUGGAAUGAAAAGAAGCAAAAAACGAUAAAGAGUGAGCAAUAUGAUCAGUGGCACCUGUGUCAAUAAUCCAAUGAUGGGAUUGAAGAGAAAAGAGGUUACCUGAGGAUGGGGAAGGGUUCGGUUGUGAGGAAGAAGCAGUAUUGGUAACAUAAGGUGAGGAGGUAGAUGCUGGAAGUAAUGCAAGUAGCUGUUGCAACUGAUCUUGUGUCAAAGUAACAGAAGGAUCAGAUGGCAAAAUAUCAACAUGCUGCGAAGAGUCCAAAGGUUGUGCAACACAAUCAUUAAGGGCUGUGUGUGCACGAGAGGCCCGACCUCGAGACUUAUAACCAGGUGGAUAUCCAUGCUUUUCAUAACAAGUAUCAACAGUAUGCCUGGAUUUGCCACAGAAGGUACAUUACCGUGAAUCAGUAGAUGAUUUUGCCUGAGGUUUCUUUGAAGUGUGGUGGCGCAGUGUGUUGCUAACAAACAACUAAGAUAAGCCAGUAGAAAGGUGACGUUCUUGUUGAAUAACCAGGGAAAACACUUUGUUGAUUGGAGGCAAGGGAUCGAUAAGCAUGAUUUGAGAACGAACAGCAGCAAACCGAUCAUGGAGACCCUUAAGAAAACGAAUAACGUAGUCGUUAUCAUGAUAUUUCUGGAGAGUGACAAAAACACCGCAAGAGCAAGAUGGUGAACAAGAACAAACUGGAAUUGGUCGAAAAUUCAUCAACUCAUCCCAGAGAAUUUUUAACUCAGUAAAGUAAUCAGUAACGGAACGAUCAUCUUGCUUGAAAGCAUUGAUCUCUUCUUGGAGAGCAGAAAUGCGGAAAACAUUACCUUGAGAAAAGCGUUCACGAAGAUCGCACCAAACAUCAUAAGCAAAGUCGAGCCAAAGAACACUGUUCAUGAUCGAGGGCGAGAUGGAAUGGUGCAACCAAGAAAGCACCAUAGUGUUACAUCGUUCCCAUGCAGAAUAAAGAGGAUCCGUUCGAGGUGGAACCGUGAUGGUGCCGUCAACAAACUGGAGCUUGUUGUUGGAUAGAAAUGCCAUUGUCAUAGCUCGAGACCAAAAGUGAUAGUUUGAGCUUCAUAAGAUAGGAGAAACAAGAACCAAAGUUGGGUUUUCAUUUGGAUGCAGAUAGUAUAGGCUAGAAGGCAGCAUAGUAUCAUGAAAUGCCAUUGGAAGAAAAGGGAAUCAAGAAUGCAGAUUAUGGAGAAAGCAAAAAAAUAACGUCUGAUACCAUGUAGAAUAAUGAAAGAGAACUUCUCAAGUAUAUUGGAUACUAACGUAUUGUUAUAUACAAGCAGGGAAAGGAAGUAACAGAAAAAUAACUACUAACUGACUAACAAGAAAUUAAUUUAAAACUAUAUGACUAAUAAUACUUUAUAAUUUUCAUAUACAUAUUUUUUAUUUUCAUAUAAUUUAUAUACAUACCUACAUAUUUUUAGAUAUAUACAUACUUACGUUUUUUUUUUCUUUUUUUUGCUUUAUAAUUUAUAUAUAUAUGUAUAUACAUUCACACAUUUUAUAAUUUAUAACUUAAAUAUAUUGAUAUACUCUUCGUAUUGUUAUUGUUGUUCUAUUGGAUAUUUAUUUAUUCAUUUAUUUAUGUGUUCGUCAUUAUUUUUAGGAAAUACUUUAGUUCCCUUUUUAUUUACUUGUUAUUUCAUAUAUACUUAAUUUGUUUUUUAUGUAUUUUAUUUUUUUGAUUGUUGCUCAUAUUAGUUAUGCAUGUAUUAUCAUGUUCAUUAUCAUUUUGCUAUACAUAUUAAUAUUGUGUUUAUUCCUACCAUUUUAUGUUAAAUUAAUUUUAUUUAAUGUAAAUCAUGGCUUUAAAAUAAGCAUAAUUUCGUAUUCUGAGAUUCGAAAAGAUUGUGCCCUAACUUACGGGGUUUCGACUUUCUCGACAAAUUCAAACGUACGAAUCCUUUCAAACUUAAAUUUUUUAAACAAUCCCGAAAAUUAUUAAAAGAUCGUAUUCUAACUUGCGGGACAUGAUUUCUUUUCUAAACCCUAGAUAAUCAAAUAUCUUUCAAAAUAAAUAAUUUAUUUUUUGGGCAUUUAUUCAUGUAUCGAGAAUUCAAGACAUUGUAUCCCAACUUACAGUACUAUAUAAUUCUCUUUCUCGAUUAGCAUUUCAACAAAGGAUCAUGAUUUGAAUCUUUUUCAAAUUUUCAAUCUUCGACAUUAGGACACUAAUUAAUCAACGAGGGUGCUAAUCCUUCCUCGUACGUAACCGACUCUCGAACCUGUUUUCUAAUUUUCGUGGACCAAAAUCGUUGUUUUGAUAAAACCAAAUUGUUUAUUAAAACAAUCAUUUUUCGAGGUGGCCCGAUCACACCUCAUCAAAAAAGAUUGGUGGCGACUCCCAUUUUCGUUUUUAUUUUUCAAAACCCAAGUCGACCCCGUUUUCACAAAAAAAAUAGUGUCAACAAUUAGGUAAAAAAUACUAAUAAUUUAGUAAUUAUUUUGUAAUUUUUUAAAUAAUUGAAUGACUUAACGACGUGAAAUAGAAAACGAGAAAACAAAUUUAAAACAAAAAUAAACAAAAACGAUGUACUUAACUGUUAUUUCCUUCUUCUCCAACAAAAACCCCGUCGUUUUAAUCCCUAAACCUAAUGUGAGCCAGACACCUUACAUCAAUAUGAUUCCUCCCAGUUACUACAUGGGACCAUUCAGAAAUUUGUGUCAAGCAACGUUAAACAUGGUGGGACCAUUUCCAACCAAACAACAUUGUUUUCAUUUAAUAAUAAAUGUGUUAUUUGUAUUAAAUAUUCUCAAUUUAUUAUUUAAUUUUAAAAAAAAUUAAUUUAUAAAUUCUAAAAUAUUUUAAUUAAAUUUUGAAAGUAUUAAUAUUAUAUCAAUAAAAUUAUUUCAUUUUUAUAGUUAUCAAUUUAGGUUUUUAAAUUUCACUUCAGAUUUAACAUGAAUUAAAUUGUAAAUACUUGCGUACUCAUCAUAUUGAUAACUUGAUUCUAACAUAUUAAAAACACGAUGAGAUUAUAAAAUUUAAGAGGAUUAUUUUUUUAACACAUUAGAUUCAAGUUGUCCAUAUAACAUGUACACACGUGUUUUAAGUAUGUCUCCUAUCAUAUUUGAGCGAACAUUUAAUGCUCAAGCUAACGGCUAAGUUAAUAGAAAAAUGGGAUAAAUUUCAAAACUAUAUAUAAACUUUGGCAUAAUAUGUAAUUUUAUACAUGAAAUUUCAAUUUAAUUCAAUUUUCACAAAUUAUUAACACAAUUAUUAAUAUAGCAUCAUUUUAUGUUUAUAUAUUGCAUAAACAAAUAAUUAAAUUUAUCCACGACAAAAAUAAAUUGAUGUAUCUAUUUCUUUAAAUAUGUAUGGUUGAGUCAAAAUAAAAAUUUAUGUAUAAUUUUAAAAUUUAUCUCUAGAAAAAUUAAAUUGGUAUAAUUAUGAUAUCUUAAAGAAUUCAAUUAAAAUGUUAUUUGGGUUAUAAUCUGCGAAUGUAUAGUGCAAGCAAUCAUUUUAUAUGUUUUAAUUUUAUUUAUCAUCUUAUUUUAAAGGAAAAUUAUUUCAUUCAAUACUGAUAAAGUUUAAAAAUUAAACAAAUAGAGUUAAAUGGGCAACACAUACCUCUUUAAAGUGAAGUAAAAUAAAAUUUUAAUGGGUCACUAUGAUCAUUGGAUCAUGUUGAUGGAGAACUUCUUGCAGGCAUGUGUGAGGCCGUGUAGGCUACACGGGCUGGCUAAUUGGGCUAUGUGGACCCUUUUUUGGAAAAAAUUCACCUAGGUCCGUAUGACUCUAAAAUUUGUAAUUAGACUUUCCUUAGAGCCAUACUACUUCAUUAAGGCUUGGAAACAAUGUAUUUGUUAAUAUGCUUCUGUGUAUGAUGUGUUUAAGGUAUGUGGAAUAUAUUUGCAUGAUCUGAUACUGAUAGUUCUCAUGGUGUGUUCUGAUUCGGUAUGUCUGUAAAUGUGUGUAUGAUGUGUGAUUUUGUUAAUUUGUAUUUCUAAAUCGGCCAUAUGACCAUGCAUGUGACAUUGUGGCUUUUCUGUUAAGGUGAUUUGUAAUUAUGAUAUAUCUAUAUACAAAGCAUGAAAUCACAUGCUUACUGAUUUUUGUUAAGAAUAUGAAUGCAUGUUCGACAUGCUUAUCAUUCUGUUUCAGUUUAUGCAUGCCACGUCACAUUGCAUGGGGUUUGGAUAUUAUGGUAUGGAGAAAGUUUCAGCAGUUUAAUCAUCUACAUUAUCUGGUGAUUUAUUCACAUUUCUCUCUACAUUUAUGGUGGCUCGACCACACACAUGUUAUUUUGACAGCUUGGCUACAAUAUAGUGGCUUGUCCACAUAUAUUCGAUUUGAUAGUUUUAACUUCAAUCUCUGGUGGCAUUGACCAGAAUAAGUAUGUUGGUGUGAUUGGAUGGACGAGUUCUGGGGAACUCUAUUUGGUGUGUAUUGGACUUGGGUAGGAUAUUUUCUAUAUAAAAAAAAACCAGCAUUACUUUUUUUGGAUAAAUAAGCACACAUUCUUAGUUUUGCUCAAAUCAUCGUUAUGAAAGUCUCUGUGAUUCUGUGAAUUGUUGGCUGUGUUAUUUGAGUUCUAGGUUUGAGUUUGUUACACACUGAGCUUUAUAGCUCACCCAUUUGUUUAAUCUCUGACUUUUAUGGUAAUCUUUGAGUUUAGGAUCGGACGGCGCGGGAGCUCAAAUUGUUUUCUCGAUUAAAUAAUUUUGGGUUGUGAUACUUUGUCAAUUAAGUAAUUCUUGACAGCCUAAAAGAUAAUUUUUUAGUGGACUUAUUCUUUGAAAUACGGGUGAAAUAAUUAUCUCAACUUGGUAAACAAUUUUGGUUUUCAUUUUACUUUUUGGUUGUAUUGGAAGCUGUUUCAAGGUUUUGUUCAAUCAAUGGUUGUAAUCCUUCUUCGAACGAGAGAGAAUUUGAAACAGAUUGAAGUGUAGACUUGACUUAUUUUAAUUUAAGCAAGCAGUAUGAUAAUUUUUAGGUGUUUGGGGUUUUUCAUUUCUCUUGGGGCAUGGUUUUGAGGAUGAAAGAUGAUUUUUUAAAGAGAGGUUAUGCUUUACGAUUUGACAUGGGUUUCAUAUACUUUGUUAUUAUUUUUAUGAUUUGUUAUUUUAUUUUAGUUGUCAUGUAUUUCGUUUAGGUGAGGUUUAAUUUAAGGUGUUUUGGGUAUGAGUAAUAUGUUCUAUUAAUUGUAAUAUCGUUACCUCAUUAGGAGUUUCGUAUGUAUGUAAACAAUAAAUUAAAAAUCAAAAUUUUUCUAACGAAGUAGUCAUGUCUUAUUAAUUGUUUAACUUAGGUGUAUUACUUUAUUUUGAAAAAUUAACUGAAAAUAUUAAUGUUAAUAAUAAACAAAAUGCGACCACUGUUAAUAAUAUAUAUUAACGCACUAACAAAUUCAAUAAAAAAAUUUAACAGUACUAACAAUUGGACCUGAAAUUUGAACUCUAAAAAGUAAAAGAAUUAAAUUCCUAUAACUAUAAGUAUAGAGACUAAAUUUCAAAUUUAUAGUGAGUACAAAGACAUAUGGCAUAUAACCUAAAAAAGGGUAACCUACUUUAGUAGUCACCCAACUAAGUUUUUUUUUUUGGUCAUUCAAUUAUGAAAAGUUACAAAAUAGUUGCCCAACGAUUCAAUUUUAUCAUUUUUAUCAUCAGUUGGCUAAUGAAAAAAUAGAAAACACCAAAAAUCUAAGAUAAUUGGGUGAAAAAAAAGGAAAAAAUAAUAGUUUAUUGAAUAUUUUGUAACUUUUUAUAAUUAGAUAAAAAAAUACUAAUAAUUUAGUGAUUAUUUUGUAACUUUUUAAAUAGUUAAAUAACUUAACGACGUCAAAUAGAAAAUGAGAAAACAAAUUUAAAACAAAGAUAAACAAAAACGAUGUACUUAACGACAUUAUUUCCCUUUUCUCCAACCGAAACGCCGUCGCUUUGAUCCCCAAACCUAAUAUAAGCACACCUUACAUCAAUAUGAUACCUCCCAAUUACUGCAUGGGACCAUUCAGAAAUUUGUGUCAAACAACGUUAAACAUGGUGGGACCAUUUCCAACCAAACAACAUUGUUUUCAUUUAAUAAUAAAUGUGUUAUUUGUAUUAAAUAUUCUCAAUUUAUUAUUUAAUUUUUUAAAAAAUUAACUUAUAAAUUCUAAAAUAUUUUAAUUAAGUUUUGAAAAUAUUAAUAUUAUAUCAAUAAAAUUAUUUCAUUUUUAUAGUUGUCAAUUUAGGUUUUUAAAUUUCACUUCAGAUUUGACAUGAAUUAAAUUAUAAAUACUUGCGUACUCAUCAUAUUGAUAACUUAAUUUUAACAUAUUUAAAACACGAUGAGAUUAUAAAAUUUAAGAGGAUUAUUUCCUUUUUUUUAACACAUUAGAUUCAAGUUGUCCAUAUAACAUGUACACACAUGUUUUAAGUAUGUCUCCUAUCAUAUUUGAGCAAACAUUUAAUGCUCAAGCUAACGGCUAAGUUAAUAGAAAAAUGGGAUAAAUUUCAAAACUAUAUAUAAACUUUGGCAUAAUAUGUAAUUUUAUACAUGAAAUUUCAAUUUAAUUCAAUUUUCACAAAUUAUUAACACAAUUAUUAAUAUAACAUCAUUUUAUGUUUAUAUAUUAUAUAAACAAAUAAUUAUAUUUAUCCACGACAAAAAUAAAUUGAUGUAUCUAUUUCUUUAAAUAUGUAUAGUUGAAUCAAAAUAAAAGUUUAUGUAUAAUUUUAAGAUUUAUCUAUAGAAAAAUCAAAUUGGUAUAAUUAUGAUAUCUUAAGAAUUCAAUUAGAAUGUUAUUUGGGUUAUAAUUUGCGAGUGUAUAGUGCAAGCAAUCAUUUUAUUUGUUUUAAUUUUAUUUAUCAUCUUAUUUUAAAGGAAAAUUAUUUCAUUCAAUACUUUCCUUGAAGAGUUUGCAGUAAGGGACUGCAAGGAGGUUGAUUUAGAGGGCAUGCAAUGGGAACCCCUUAAGAAUCUCUCUCAUUUGGAGAUUGAUAAUAUUCCAAAGCUGGUGUCUCUCCCCAUUUGGCUCCAACAUCUUGUUCAAUUGAAAACAUUAAAAAUUCAUAACUGCAAUGGAUUGAGGUCACUGCUUCCUGUGUUCCAACAUCUCACUUUCCUUGAAGAGUUUGAAGUAAAGGACUGCAAGGAGCUGGAGUUAUCUGGAGCUGGCAUCCAAAUAUUCCAAGAUCAUACAAGCCUACGCUCUCUAUGGCUGCAAAGUAUUCCAAAGUGUCGGCAUCUUCCGGAGUGGCUUCAACAUCUAACAAAUCUGCAACGGCUUUUUCUCGUUAAUUUGCCCAAUUUAACAUCUCUUCCGGAGUGGCUUCAACAUCUAACAAAUCUGCAAGGGCUUUAUCUCGGUUAUUUGCCCAAUUUAACAUCUCUUCCGGACGAGAUGCGUUGCCUAACCAAAUUGCAAAUUUUAGAAAUAGAAGGAAUUCCUCAGUUGGAGGAAACAUGUCGGAAGGACAUUGGCGCUGAUUGGCAAAAGAUUGCUCACAUCCCCAACAUUCGGUUGAUUCAGGUUGGUCCCUCUUUGUUAUUUAUUUAUUUUGAUGACCUUAUCUUUUUUUGAAGAAAAAUAAGAGUGGUAUAUUGAAUCUCCAAGUCAGGGGUCUGAUGCUAUUUUUCAUUGAAGUUGGAUACUGUUAAUUUCCUUGUUAAAAUCCCUUUGUUUUAAUCCUACUUUUUACUUAUCAUCUUUCAUAAUAUUUUUGCUGAUUUGUGCAGUAAGGCAUUGGAGAAAGGCAUUAGUCAACUUCAAUCAUUUUAUAUGCAUAAAAAAGAGGUGCUAAUUUACCUAUUUGCUUUUUACUUUAAAUCAUAAUAGUAACUUGACAAUUGCUUCUACUAAUUUAAUUCUAAAAAAUUAUUGAUGUGGAGAGAGAGGCCUAUGAAGCCUUCAAAAUGGUUGUACUAUAUGCUCUGCUUUCUUCAUUUAAGCACUUACCUAUCAUAUCUUUAUAUAUAUUUAUGUUUUCUCUUAAUAUAUGCCAACUGAUUACUACCUUAGAUGGUACCUGUGAUAUUGACAGGCUUUUGGAGGUAUUUAAAUUCAUAAUAUUCAUUGAUGCAGGGCACUCUUUUAGCUGUUUGGAGUUCCAGCUAAAUUUGUUAUUGAAGGUCCAAAUAGGAGAAAAAGGAAGAUGCUUCAGAAUAUUUGGUGGUGAGGUUGAAUUUGAUAAAAUGUUUCAUUAUUUAUAUAUCAAGAGUAUUAUACUAAACACAGAUAUGUGUAAAUAUAAGGCUGAUAAUAAUGGGAUUUGUAACAUAUUCUAUGUUGGCAUUUAUAAUUUUCAGGUUCAUUGAUGCUUUUGGAAGAGUCGUUGUUCAAGCAUGACAAUUGCCAGACAUAUUGCAUUUGAAAAUUCUUAUUCCUCUUUACAUGGAGCUUAUUAAGAGCUUGAUUCAUAGUAGGAAAACCAUUGGAUGUUGAAUGUGAAUUUUCACUUGCAUAGCUAAAAUGAGUUGGGAGAGAAUUUACUUAAUUGUACAAAAGUGAUGUUGCAUCAAGUGUUCAAAGGGUUAGGCUUAAAUCAUUUCUUUAUACUAUAAAGUUCAUAGAGGAUUCAUCCUUGGGCAAAGCACCGCAGACGUAGGACAAGUUCCGAACCGAGUAAACAUCUUAAUUGUACUCUUUAUUUUUCUUAUUGCAUAAUAUGUGCCAACUCAGGAAAAAACACAUUUAUGUUUUUUUAGACAGUAUUCCAAGGCUAUGUUCAAUUAUAAUGCUUGGAUUAGGACCGUUCCAAAAGAUGUCAAUUUCCUGGCUGUAUAUACAUAUGACUUGUGUGUUGAUGCUUAUGUUGGCACACGUUAAAUUACAAGUUGAAUAACAACUUGUAAUUUGUUCUUGUCGUUUAAACAAAACAUAAGGCUUUUCCUUUGGAAUCUCGAUGCGACGAGGUACUGCAAUCCUCGAAAGGAAGGAAGGACAUGGGCAAUGGCAGGGGUGUUUCUUGGUGAGCUAAGGAAAUCAAAGUCUCCUAGGAGGAUUCUAGCCCAUCAAUUCCCUCUAUAUUAGCAACAAUGAACCUGCAGACUAUAAAUAUCAAUAUAUAGACUGAGUAGUGUCCAAAUGUAGAAGAAACACUUGCUGUUACUAAAAACAUGACUCCAUAUUUUGUGCGCAAAUGGUGGCCAAACACAACAUCAUUUUUGUCUGCCGCGCUCUUCCUUUUUAAUUGCUGAGAAAAAUCAGCAAUAUUUCAAAGUACUGCCAAUGGCAGGCAAAAUUACAAGGUCCCUUAGUAUUUGUGCACGGUUAUAUCUACGUUAACAAUCAACUGAAUUGAAGAAAAUAAAAUAAAAAAGAGCAUAAGUUUAGCAAAUGCAUAUGUACGAGAGCUUGUACAAGAAAACUUACUGUUAACCAUAAGAACCAUCAGAAAUGCUUCGCUACUUGAUUCAAAAGUUAAUUCAGAAAGGCCAAAACUCAAAGAGAUAAAUGGCAUGACAAAAUCAAGUAAAGUAACUAGUAAUUCACUUGUUAUCGCGUUGAAGACAAUAAAGAAAAAGAAUAUAAUAUACGAAUAUAGUUUUGUCCGAUAAACUAGCAGAGCAGUCGUAUUAUACAUGAGGGGGAAACUAUAGUGAUAAACAUUAUGGAUAUCAACUGAAUCAUUUUUCAAACAUCCAUCAAAGACAAAACAUCAAAAGAACUAACAUCCAUCUGGCUUUCUUCAUAUAGAGCACGGCAUUAAAUGUUCAACUUUAAACCCAGAAUGGAGUAGCAUAACAUAACCUUCCUCUCUUACUGUCGAAACCGUUUUUUUUGAAAAUAAAAAUUUAGUUGUCGACUUUAAAAAUAAAACUGGAGUCGCCACCGAUCCUUUAUUAAGGUGUGAUCGGCCCACCUUAAAAAUAAUUUUGGUCUACGAAUUUUGAAAAAACGAGUUCGGAAGUCAGUUACGCACGAGGAAGGGUUAGCACCCUCGUGACGCCCAAAAUCGGUACCAAAUUGAUCAUUUAAUGUCUUUGUGUCGAAGGUUAAAAAGAUUUUAAAAUCAACUCAAAUGAUGAAAUUUGAAAAAGGAUAAUCAAUUGUUCAAGUCAUGUAAAGAAAUCGAGUCCCAAUACGUUAGGGUACAAUUCCUCAUAAUUCCCGAACUUUGAAUAUCACUUUAUUUUAUGCGAAAAUCUUCAUUUAGAGAAAGUAACAUGCCACACCCAAUACGUUAGGACACGGCAAGUUAAGUUCCCAAAAAUGAUUUUUAUACUCAUGCAUUUUGAAUAAAGAAUAUCCUCGGUUAUCUAGAAUUAGAAAAGAAAAUCGGAACCCAAUACGUUAGGGCUCAAUUUCCUCGAAAAUUCCCAACCUUGAAUAUUGUUUUUAUUCAAAAAAAAAAACUUUUAAGUCAAGAAAAUAAUUUUGAUGUACUGUCAAAACCAAAAUGUAUUUCCCAAAAGGUAAGUUAAAAGUUAGUGUAUAAUAUGAGACAAAAACUUUAACUUAAAGCAUAUAUGAAUAUAUAUUUACAAAAUAAAAAGAAUAAAAUGUAUAGGUAUAUGUACAUGGUAAAUUGUAAAAAUACGUAUAUGAAUAUUGAAACACUUAUAUAUAUGUAAAAAAUGUAUAUAAAUAAUAGAGUAUACAUAGAAUAAUAAAAAAAAUGUUUAUAAUAACUCGGCAAUAUCAAAAAAAUGUAUAUAUAUAGUGUAAAAAUGUGUAUUUUGAAUUAUAAAAUGUAAAUAUAUGUAUAGAUGUGUGUACAAAAGUCAUGAAAAUAAAAUAUAAAAUAUAAAUAAAAAAAUAAGUAUAAUACAUUAAUAAAUUAUGGGUAUUAUAUAUAUAUGUAUAUAUAAAAAAUAGGAAAAUAGAAUAAAGUAAAAAAUAUAUAUAUAUGUAUUUAAAACGUGUAAAGUAUGUAUACAUUGUACAUAUGCGUAAUAAGAGUAUAAUAAUAAUAAAUAAUAAUGUACAACCAUAGAAAUAAUAAUAAUAGUAAUAAAUAUAACAUAAUUAAUAAAAAAAAAAGUAAAACAACAAAUUAAGGAUUAAAUUGAAAAUAAACGAAUUUUUGAAGCUAAAUUUAAAGAUGAAAAAUAAAAAAAAAAACCAAAUUAAGACACGUGCAACAGUUGGAGGACCGUAAGGGUAAUUUACCCAAUUUCCCAAACGUUGCGCAGCAACAUGGACCAAAUUAAAACAGUAAUAAAACAUACAACCAAAUUUUAAAGAAAUAAAAGACCGAUUUAAACACCCCUCAUAAAAGAGAGGACCAAAUGAGGAAUUGGCCCAUUUUAAAAAAAAAGUGCGCGGAUCCUGGGACCGGGUCGGGUCACCGCGCGGGUCAUGGCCCCCCCAUACGGCGUCGUUUUGCAAGUGUUAUUUAAAAGGGAAAAAAACCUAAAAAAAACAUUUGCAGGUCCCCAAAAAAAACAAAGGAGGGCCGCCCCUUUUCCUCUGCUAGGGUUUCGGCCCUAGCCCCCUUUUGCGCCGCCGUUCAAGUGAUUCAAUCGGUUCGAAAUCCGGUGCCGAUCCCGAUCCCGACUCAGGUAAGUUUUCUUUUCGUUCUCCUUUUUAUUUUAAAUAGAAAAAUAAAUGGAAAAAUAAAAAAAACAGAAAAACUAAAAGCGAUUCACCUUCGAAAAAACUUUUUCAGUAUAUUUUCUCUCUAUAUCUUCUUUACACUCACUUCCCCCCCCCUUUUACACUGAUUUCCCCCUCGGUUUUUAUAACCGAAAAAUAAAGAAGAGGAAAAAAAAUCUCGCAAAACCCCCCUUAUUUUCUGUUCUUGUUGUAUUUGUGCGCCUCCUUUUUUGCAGGUUUGGUGGCGUAGAAAGCGUAUGCACGUGGAGGCGCAAAUCGCGCGGAGGGAGGCUUCUGGCCCCGAGUCGUGCGGCGGUUGGGGUUGCUUGGCUGCGGCGCUAGGGGUUGUGCUGAAGGUUCUAGGGUUUUUUAUAGUUGGGCUGGUUUGGUUAUUGUUUGGGUAAUUAGGCUUGAGUUUUAAUUUUGUUGGGCAUGUAUUGGUUUAGGCCCGGGCAAUUUGGGCUUGUACACUUACCAUAGCAUUUAUAUUACAUAAAACAAACAUAAUGUAAUAGCCCAUUUUUGCCUGGGCCCAACACACCCAAACUUAACAACCCCCAAAAUAAAAACCCAAACCCAAACAGCCCAAAUUACAAAAAAACCUAGCCCAAUAGGCCCACAACAUAAAUGUUUUUAGCAACAAAGGAGGCAGAAACCCUAGGGCGCGCCGCAUGUCAGCAAGGCUCCCUCGCACGCCUCCGUUGCAGCACGUCACCUCCACGCAUCGUACGCCUCUGUUACAUGCCAGAAAAAACAAGACAGAAAAUGACAACAAGCAGAAAAACAAAUUGCAAAACGACAAAAAAUAGAAAUUUAGGGGUUUUUCAAAUCGGCUAUAAAAGCCGAAUAUGAUCGCUGUAAUGCUUCUUCUUCCUUUUUGGAGUCUUUAUUAUUAUUAUUUUUGGUUCAAGAUAGUCAUAUUUCUUUUAAAAAAAUAUUCAAGACUCCAAUAUGGAAAUAAUUACCAAGUUUAGAAGUUAACUUGAACAAAAGAAAAGUCUAAGCUAUGAGAACGGUUUCCUAUUCUAAGCCCUAAUAUGACAACAAUUAUUAAGUUCAAAAAUUAACUUGAACAAAAGAAAAAUUCAAACCUCAAAGUGAGAAUCGUUGUCUAAUCUAAUCCUCAUUGUGGAAUAAGUGCCAAUUUCAAAAAUUAACUUAGAUAAAAAUAUUUAAACCCUAAUAUAAGAAUAAAUACAAAAUUUAUACCCCAAAUAGUGUUUCAAUUUGUUAUUUUCUUUUGUUUGCCUAACCCAUUUCUCAAUGCGAGCUGGGGGUGGCUUUUAAUUUUGAGGUUUACCAAGUAGAAAAAAAUACAUUAUUUUUCUAUUGAAAAGGAUCGUUGACAUUAAGAGAGGGUUAGAUUUUUGCAAGUGAGAAUUUAAUAAUGAGGAAAAACACAAGAUGAAAGAGAAAAAUUGGAGAGACCCUUUUAUGAGAGAAAAUUAGAGUUUGGGUCCAUGGAUUCAUAAUAUCUUAACACCUUGGAUUUCAUGGGUUUGGCUCCUUCGUCUGUUUUCUUUGGUAGAUUUUUCAUUGGUUUCAUAUUGUGCACUCAGCUUUUGAAGCUCUUUUCUCCCAGAUAUUUCAAUUAUUUGUACGGAUCCACAUAGACAAAUUUUGCUCAAGUUGAUGUAAUUGUGGAGAGCACCCGAAGUGUCAUCAUCCCAACUUCAUUUAGAUGCAGAAAAAGAGGUGGUAAUUACUUAAUUGCUUUACAUUUUUAAAUCAUAAUAAUCUCACAAUUUCAAAUGAUCUAAUAACUCCCAUGAAAUCCUCCUCUGUAUGCACAUUUGUUCUUUCUUUUCUUUUUUUCUUUGUUGAAGAGUCCCUCUGAUGACCUAAUCCUAAUUUUUGUUAGAUUUUGGCUCUCUUCUUCGGCGGAGCAUGGCAUAUAUUACAAGAAGCAGAGGUAAUAUAUGUUCAACUACGAUCUGUUCAUCUGCCAAAAUAUUCCAACAAAACAAAAAUGAUAAUAUAUGUCAUCAGUUUCCUUAUAAUUUCCAACUGAUCUGAUACAAAAUUAUAUAUAUGGAGUAUUUCAAGAGUUGUAAUAUAUAUGCCAACAGCUUAUAUGGUACCAAUGCUAUUGACAGAUUCUUUGGAGUCGUGUUGGAGAGAGCUUAAACACGCAAUGUCAUUUUCAAGUAAGUCAAUUGAAUAAGGGCUGAGGGUUGAUGAAAAUGGAGGGGGAAGAGGGGGAUAGUUCACAAUAUUCACUGGUGCAGGGCACCCAUUUUAGCUGUUUGAUUUUUUAAGGUUGCAUCAGGAGAGGAUCUUGCUUCAGAAUAUUCGGUGGUGAGGUUGAGGUUGAUUAAAUGUUUUCAUUAUUUAUAGACGAAUAACAACAUAUUAACACUAAUGGGGAUGUGAAUUUGUUACCAUUACAGAUGAUGGUGAUGUUAAUAAAACCUGAUUGUUAUCCUUGUUUCUAGGUAAGUAGUUACUGCACAUCAAGGACUUAGUAACUAAAAAUUAUGGGUUUAUUUAGUUUAUAUUUUUUCUCUACUUGUUAAGAGUUCUAUUGUGAGUCUUAUUACGUCAGUGCCUAGCUUUUUGUUUUUCUAUUAUGUAAAAGCCUAUAUAAAUAGGCUCUUGGAUUGUGAAUUAUUUUACUCAUCAUUUUAUUUUUCUCUUUCCUUUUUUAUUUUCAUCUUGUUGUUAUCUCUCUGAGUAAGUUAACAGUGGUGCCAAAGCUAGUCAAAAGAAGAGUAUUUUCGGUGAGAGGAAAAAGUUGGUGGUCCUCCUAUGGCUUCUGAAAAUUUUGUGCAGCCAGCUAUUCCACGUUUUGAUGGUCACUAUGAUCAUUGGAUCAUGUUGAUGGAGAACUUCUUACGGGCAUGUGUGAGGCCCUGUGGGCCACACGAGCUGGCCAAUUGGGCUGUGUGGACCCACUUUUUGAAAAAAUUCACCUAGGUCCGUUUCACUCUAAAAUUUGUAAUUAGACUUUUCGUAGGGCCAUACUACUUAAUUAAGGCUUGGAAACAAUGUAUUUGUUAAUAUGCUUCUAUGUAUGAUGUGUUUAAGGUAUGUGGAAUAUAUUUGCAUGAUCUGAUACUGAUAGUUCUCAUGGUAUGUCCUGAUUUGCUAUGUCUGUAUAUGUGUGUAUGAUUUGUGAUUAUGUUAAUUUGUAUUUCUAAAUCGGCCAUAAGACCAUGCAUGUGGCAUUGUGGCUUUUCUGUUAAGGUGAUUUGUAAUUAUGAUAUAUCUAUAUACAAAAUAUGAAAUCACAUGCUUACUGAUUUUUGUUAAGAAUAUGAAUGCAUGUUCAACAUGCUUAUCAUUCUAUUUCAGUUUAUGCAUGCCACGUCACAUUGCAUGGGGUUAGGAUAUUAUGGUAUGGAGAAAGUGUCAGCAGUUUAAUCAUCUGCAUUAUCUGGUGAUUUAUUCACAUUUCUAUUUACAUUUAUGGUGGCUCGACCACACACAUAUGUUGUUUUGACAACUUGGCUAUAAUAUAGUACCUUGUCUACAUAUAUUCGAUUUGAUAGUUUUAACUGCAAUCUCUGGGGGCAUUGACCAGAGUUAUUAUGUUGGUGUGAUUGGAUGGACGAGUUCUGGGGAACUCUAUUUGGUGUGUACCAGAGUUGGGUAGGAUGUUUUCUAUAUAUAAAAAAAACCAGCAUUACCUUUUUUUGGAAAAAUAUUGCAUUGGCAUAAGCACGCAUUCUGAGUUUUGCUCAAAUCAUCAUUAUGAAAUUCUCUAUGAUUCUGUGAAUUGUUGGUUGUGUUAUUUGAGUUCUAGGUUUGAGUUUGUUACACACUGAGCUUUAUAGCUCACUCCUUUGUUUAAUCUCUAACUUUUAAGGUAAUCUUUGAGUUUGGGAUCGGACGGCGUGCGGGAGCUCGGAUUGUUUUCUCGAUUAAAUAAAUAAGAUGGUUUACGUCUAUUUCUUUUCUGGACUUUUUGGACUAUAAAGUUACUUUUGGACUGGGUUUUUGGUUAUCGUUCUUUUUGUUGGAUUUGAUAUCUUUAACAUUAGACUACAUAAUCGUAGGAGUUAUCAAACUAAAAUUUUGUUUUCAAAACUAAGAAAUCUGAAAUUUCUGCUACAACGAUAAAGUAAUCACGUAUUUUUCUGUAAACAAAUAUCUGGUUUUUAACAAAUGUUUGCCUUAGUAUUGGAAAUGAUCUGCUAACGUUAGUACUUUCAAAACACGUAAUUUUGAAUUCAAAUUCUGGGUUUUAAAUAGGUGUUUUCAGACUUUGAUUUUGCUAAACAUCUAUGAGAGUUUUGCCAGUUUUUAUGUUUUCGAAAAAAUGAACUGAGUUUAAUUAAAACAAAAGUUUUUGAACAAGUUAACGUAAAUAUUGCUCAAUAUCUGGUCAUAACUUUUAUGCCGGGUUUGAGUUGUUACACAAUUACUCAUUCUUGCUAUAACCUUAUAACAUUAUUCUUUGACAUACGGGUGAAAUAAUUAUCUCAACUUGGUAAACAAAUUUGGUUUUCAUUUUACUUUUUGGUUUUAUUGGAAGCUGUUUCAAGCUGUUGUUCAAUCAAUGGUUGUAAUCCUUCUUUGAACGAGAGAAAAUUUGAAGCAGAUUGAAGUGUAGACUUGACUUAUUUUAAUUUAAGCAGGCAGUAUGAUAAUUUCUAGGUGUUUGGGGUUUUUCAUUUCUCUUGGGGCAUGGCUUUGAGGAUGAAAGAUGAUUUUUUAAAGAGAGGUUAUGCUUUACGAUUUGUUAUUAUUUUACCUUACAUGUGUUUCAUAUACUUUCUUAUUAUUUUUUAUGAUUUCUUAUUAUUUUUUAGUUGUCAUUUAUUUCGUUUAGCUGAGAUUUAAUUUAAGGUGUUUUUGAUAUAAGUAAGUUGUUCUAUUAAUUGUAAUAUCGUUACUUCAAUAAGGGUUUUGUAUGUAUGUAAACAAUCAAUUAAAACUAAAAAAUUUUCUAACGAAGUAGUCAUAUCCUAUUAAUUGUUUAACUUAGAUGUAUUACUUUAUUUUGAAAAAUUAACUGAAAACAUUUGAUCACCUAUAUACAUGUAAGUAUAUAUGUAUGUACACCUUGUAAAAACAUGAUUAUAUAUAAACGAUAACAUAACAGUAACAUCUAGAAUAUAUAAUUUAUCAACGGUUGUUAGCCUUCCAUAUAAACAUUUGAAUAGCCUUAUGUUACCAUAUAUAUAUAUAUAUAUAAUGAUGCUAAAUUUAUAAUAAUAAUAAAAUAUUCUCACCAAAACAACUCAUAAACACCAUUAGUUAGUAUUAACAAUAAUAAAGUUUAACUAAUGGAAAAAAGUUAUAAUAAUCAUGUCACUUUGUGUGCCAUGUGGUGAACCCAUGUGGUCAUGUCCGACAUACUAACCCAAAGAAAACAACAAAUUUCUUGAUAAAAAGUUUUAUCGAAUUCGACAACAAAAAUUAUAAAUAAAGACUCUCCCUUAAUUAAUUAAGUUUUUAAUAUAAAAUGAAUACUUUUAUAUGGUUCUACAUCUGUGUUUCAUCUUGUUCCAAUCAUUCUCAUUUUACUCCUCUUGCAAUAACCAAACACUUCUUUGCUUGAUUUCUGUUUGAACCUGCAAUGGCCGAAGCAAUUGCAUUCGACCUCGCCCUAGAGCUUAUUACUAAGUUGAGCUCCUUUACUCUCUCUCAAAUUGGACUGUGUUGGAAUGUCAAGGAUGACCUCGACGACCUCAAAAGCACCGUCUCUACAAUCAAAGCUGUGCUUCUUGACGCAGAAGAGCGAUCCGCGAC